AGAGUUUGAUCCUGGCUCAGGAUGAACGCUGGCGGCGUGCUUAACACAUGCAAGUCGAACGGGAAACAUUUCAUUGAGGCUUCGGCGGAUUUGAUCUGUUUCUAGUGGCGGACGGGUGAGUAACGCGUGGGUAACCUGCCUUAUACUGGGGGAUAACAGCCAGAAAUGGCUGCUAAUACCGCAUAAGCGCACAGAACCGCAUGGUUCGGUGUGAAAAACUCCGGUGGUAUAAGAUGGACCCGCGUUGGAUUAGCUAGUUGGCAGGGCAGCGGCCUACCAAGGCGACGAUCCAUAGCCGGCCUGAGAGGGUGAACGGCCACAUUGGGACUGAGACACGGCCCAGACUCCUACGGGAGGCAGCAGUGGGGAAUAUUGCACAAUGGGCGAAAGCCUGAUGCAGCGACGCCGCGUGAGCGAAGAAGUAUUUCGGUAUGUAAAGCUCUAUCAGCAGGGAAGAUAAUGACGGUACCUGACUAAGAAGCACCGGCUAAAUACGUGCCAGCAGCCGCGGUAAUACGUAUGGUGCAAGCGUUAUCCGGAUUUACUGGGUGUAAAGGGAGCGCAGGCGGUGCGGCAAGUCUGAUGUGAAAGCCCGGGGCUCAACCCUGGUACUGCAUUGGAAACUGUCGUACUAGAGUGUCGGAGGGGUAAGCGGAAUUCCUAGUGUAGCGGUGAAAUGCGUAGAUAUUCGGAGGAACACCGGUGGCGAAGGCGGCCAACUGGGCUUUAACUGACGCUGAGGCUCGAAAGUGUGGGGAGCAAACAGGAUUAGAUACCCUGGUAGUCCACACUGUAAACGAUGAUAACUAGGUGUGGGGGGUCUGACCCCUUCCGUGCCGCAGCUAACGCAAUAAGUUAUCCGCCUGGGGAGUACGACCGCAAGGUUGAAACUCAAAGGAAUUGAACGGGGACCCGCACAAGCAGUGGAUUAUGUGGUUUAAUUCGAAGCAACGCGAAGAACCUUACCAGCACUUGACAUCCGACUAACGAAGUAGAGAUACAUUAGGUGCCCUUCGGGGAAAGUCGAGACAGGUGGUGCAUGGUUGUCGUCAGCUCGUGUCGUGUGAUGUUGGGUUAAGUCCCGCAACGAGCGCAACCCCUGCCAUUAGUUGCUACGCAAGAGCACUCUAAUGGGACCGCUACCGACAAGGUGGAGGAAGGUGGGGACGACGUCAAAUCAUCAUGCCCUUUAUGACCUGGGCUACACACGUACUACAAUGGCGUUAAACAAAGAGAAGCAAGACCGCGAGGUGGAGCAAAACUCAAAAACAACGUCUCAGUUCAGAUUGCAGGCUGCAACUCGCCUGCAUGAAGUCGGAAUUGCUAGUAAUCGCGGGUCAGCAUGCCGCGGUGAAUACGUUCCCGGGCCUUGCACACACCGCCCGUCA
RNAcentral lists this ribosomal RNA (1388 nucleotides) under uncultured bacterium. Its description in RNAcentral is "bacterial SSU rRNA". It matches the Rfam family "Bacterial small subunit ribosomal RNA". The record is from RNAcentral.